CCCUUAGAUGUCCUGGGCCGCACGCGCGUUACACUGAUGCAUUCAACGAGCUUAUAACCUUGGCCGAGAGGCCUGGGCAAUCUUGUUAACGUGCAUCGUGAUAGGGAUAGAUUAUUGAAAUUAUUAAUCUUGAACGAGGAAUUCCUAGUAAACGCAGAUCAUCAAUCUGUAUUGAUUACGUCCCUGCCCUUUGUACACACCGCCCGUCGCACCUACCGAUUGAAUGCUCAGGUGAGCCAUUCGGACCUUCAUCAUGCCGGUUUCCGGUUUUGAUGAGGGAAAGUCUUGCGAACCUUAUCAUUUAGAGGAAGGAGAAGUCGUAACA
Molecule: ribosomal RNA, 325 nt
Filed under: uncultured eukaryote
Lineage: Eukaryota
Description: partial 18S ribosomal RNA
Rfam family: Eukaryotic small subunit ribosomal RNA
Source: RNAcentral